GGCAAAAUGAUGAGCUGAUAUGCACUGAAUUUUAUGUGGAGGCAUAUAUAUAUCAAUGGUCUUCAAAGUUCUCUGAUUACU
Small nucleolar RNA from Macleaya cordata, 81 nucleotides. It matches the Rfam family "Small nucleolar RNA R160". Rfam says of the family: snoR160 is a C/D box small nucleolar RNA, which acts as a methylation guide for 25S ribosomal RNA in plants. snoR160 has been alternatively named snoZ270 in rice. The record is from Rfam. NCBI's taxonomy places the organism in Eukaryota, Viridiplantae, Streptophyta, Magnoliopsida, Ranunculales, Papaveraceae.